This 158-nucleotide small nucleolar RNA is filed under the name Solanum tuberosum (potato). Its description in RNAcentral is "small nucleolar RNA snoR134". It matches the Rfam family "small nucleolar RNA snoR134". Lineage: Eukaryota; Viridiplantae; Streptophyta; Magnoliopsida; Solanales; Solanaceae. The record is from Rfam by way of RNAcentral.
CUGCACGUAGCCUCCCGGGCUCAUCUGAUUUAUAUUUUUACAUGAAGUUAGAAGCCCCAAAGCUCGUGCUACACAUUUUUUGCCGUUUAGUGUUGCAGUAUUAGCCUUUUUGUACCUUUAAUCCAUGGCUUAUCUGUGUCAAAUUAACGGCUAAAUCC